Molecule: ribosomal RNA, 571 nt
Filed under: Colletotrichum gloeosporioides
Lineage: Eukaryota; Fungi; Ascomycota; Sordariomycetes; Glomerellales; Glomerellaceae
Description: eukaryotic LSU rRNA
Rfam family: 5.8S ribosomal RNA (bases 213-366)
Source: RNAcentral
UAACAAGGUCUCCGUUGGUGAACCAGCGGAGGGAUCAUUACUGAGUUUACGCUCUACAACCCUUUGUGAACAUACCUACAACUGUUGCUUCGGCGGGUAGGGUCUCCGCGACCCUCCCGGCCUCCCGCCUCCGGGCGGGUCGGCGCCCGCCGGAGGAUAACCAAACUCUGAUUUAACGACGUUUCUUCUGAGUGGUACAAGCAAAUAAUCAAAACUUUUAACAACGGAUCUCUUGGUUCUGGCAUCGAUGAAGAACGCAGCGAAAUGCGAUAAGUAAUGUGAAUUGCAGAAUUCAGUGAAUCAUCGAAUCUUUGAACGCACAUUGCGCCCGCCAGCAUUCUGGCGGGCAUGCCUGUUCGAGCGUCAUUUCAACCCUCAAGCUCUGCUUGGUGUUGGGGCCCUACAGCCGAUGUAGGCCCUCAAAGGUAGUGGCGGACCCUCCCGGAGCCUCCUUUGCGUAGUAACUUUACGUCUCGCACUGGGAUCCGGAGGGACUCUUGCCGUAAAACCCCCCAAUUUUCCAAAGGUUGACCUCGGAUCAGGUAGGAAUACCCGCUGAACUUAAGCAUAU